Molecule: ribosomal RNA, 253 nt
Filed under: uncultured bacterium
Lineage: Bacteria
Description: partial 16S ribosomal RNA
Rfam family: Bacterial small subunit ribosomal RNA
Source: RNAcentral
UACGUAGGGGGCAAGCGUUGUCCGGAUUUAUUGGGCGUAAAGAGCGUGUAGGCGGUUUGGUAGGUCCGCUGUGAAAACUCGAGGCUCAACCUCGAGACGCCGGUGGAAACCAUCAGACUAGAGUCCGGAAGAGGAGAGUGGAAUUCCUGGUGUAGCGGUGAAAUGCGCAGAUAUCAGGAAGAACACCCGUGGCUAAGGCGGCUCUCUAGUACGGUACUGACGCUGAGGAGCGAAAGCGUGGGGAGCGAACAGG